CAUUUUUUAAUUCUUGAAAGUAUUAGAGUUUGAAUUUUGGUUUUAGAACUGUAAUUCCAUUAUAUUUUCAUUAAAAUUCUCAUAGGUUUCUUCCCUUGGUUCUGCUUUAGUAGGCAUCUCCUGUUUCUGUUCUGCUGGCCAUUUUUCUUUCCGAGACCCGUGAGUGAGUUUUAAUUUUCCUUGCCUAGUCAUGAUUGUGGUUACUCAGUACUUGCCAGCAUCCUUGGGUCGCAGCAAACCAAGUGGUGAAAGACACGAUGCUUUCAGUUCUCAUGGGCCUGAAACCUGUUACUCUGCUGAGUUGCUCUGAGAAACCAUACCAGUCCCACAUUUUUUUAGUCACAAGCAGCGGUUCUUUUCCAGCUGCAAAGAUGGAAACACUUCCCUUCACUGGCAAGCCCUCUUGGAGGUUUUCUGGGGUCAGCAAGUUAAUUGCAGCAGAAGACAAAGUCCCUUUUGCAGGGGGGACCACUUGGGAUGAUGGGUAGCAAUUUUAGUAAUGAAUUUUGUCUAUCUGCUGCUUGAGAUCUGCUCAUGAUUUUUACUUUUAGGUGAAAAAAAGUCAUGGUAUUAUGUGUGCAUAUGAUUCUUUUUGUAACCAAAACAAGCAUUUCUCUAUUUGUAUCUAAAAUUUCACAAAUGCAUGCACAUGGAGAAAGGUGUAGGAAAGACUAUAUGCCUUGACACAAGAAUGGAGAAAAUAGUAAUUUUUCUAUUCUAGUGAGAUUGUAUGUGUAUUUUAUUCUAAUCAGAUAAUAAAAUGUAAAGAAUGGAGGACAAGGCAUGCUAGAUGUUACAUAGUGGAAGAGUAGGGUUAGUGAGAGGUUAUGAUCUGAGAAUGAAAUGUUGGAGUUUGAUUUUCAGAGGUAGAGUAAUUUUGACUAAAAUGAAGAGAAGCCUGUUUGGGAUGGGAAGAGAUCAUGGAAGUCCGGGAAGCUGAAUAACAACCUACAAGCCUUGGAUGCUUAUGUCAUCUGGGAUGUGUAUGACUUCAUGGGAUGUAGAGUUAAAGAACAAAUUGGCUUAAAUGUGAACAGAAGAAUGAUAAGAAAUGAAGUUUUAAAAUUGAGGAGUUUCUGACUACACUUAAAUAAAACCCAGCAUCCUCAACAUGGUCCUCAAGGCCUGGCAUGUUUAACAAAAGUUAAGUCCUAGAUUCUCACAUCAUUAUGGAGCCUGUAAAAUCCUUCGAUAAUUAACUCUCUGCAAGAUGAAGACCCAAGGAAGCUGUUGGUGGGGUUUGAAGGCCCGAGAACCAAAGAUAUAUUUCCAACCUAUUCCCAGUGCUGGAAAGCCUGGGGUGCUUAGGGUAGAAGAUUGGUGUCCCCAUCCUUUUCUUUUGAGAAACUGAGUAUGUUCUCCUGUCUCUUGAGAGAGAACUGAUGCUAACUCCAGAUGCCUUUGGAUCUGAGAUGAUAUGUAGAACUGGGGUACAGGCCAGAGAUGCAGAGGGUGAGAGGAU
Long non-coding RNA from Condylura cristata (star-nosed mole), 1462 nucleotides. RefSeq lists it as uncharacterized. The transcript has 4 exons. The record is from RefSeq and is a predicted model, not a curated record. Lineage: Eukaryota; Metazoa; Chordata; Mammalia; Eulipotyphla; Talpidae.